This 268-nucleotide unclassified non-coding RNA is filed under the name uncultured fungus. RNAcentral describes it as "sequence contains ITS1". Lineage: Eukaryota; Fungi. The record is from RNAcentral.
UAUAAUUAACUUUAUAACAUUCUAAAACAGUUUCAUAGGUUUGUGAAAAAAGGACAUAGACCUCUUUUUGCAAGGGAAAAGCUGACUUUGACAAGCAAGCAAGUCCCAACUCGGAAACAAAUCCAAACCCCCAAAAGGUCUACAAUGUGUGCACAGUUGGAGAGAUAAAGAUGACAAGCGUGCACAUGCCCCCCAAGAAGAGGGCCAGCAAAAACAGCCUGUUCAAGUUUAUUCGAUAAUGAUCCUUCCGCAGGUUCACCUACGGAAA